AGAGCGAACGCUGGCGGCAUGCUUAACACAUGCAAGUCGCACGGUCAGCAAUGGCAGUGGCGGACGGGUGAGUAACGCGUAGGUAUCUAUCCACGGGUGGGGGACAACGUCGGGAAACUGACGCUAAUACCGCAUGAUACCCGAGGGUCAAAGGCGCAAGUCGCCUGUGGAGGAGCCUGCGUACGAUUAGCUUGUUGGUGGGGUAAAGGCCUACCAAGGCGACGAUCGUUAGCUGGUCUGAGAGGAUGAUCAGCCACAUUGGGACUGAGACACGGCCCAAACUCCUACGGGAGGCAGCAGUGGGAAUAUUGGACAAUGGGCGCAAGCCUGAUCCAGCAAUGCCGCGUGUGUGAAGAAGGUCUUCGGAUUGUAAAGCACGUUUCGGCGGGGACGAUGAUGGACCGGUACCCGCAGAAGAACGCCCGGCUAACUCGCGCCAGCAGCCGC
RNAcentral lists this ribosomal RNA (447 nucleotides) under uncultured bacterium. Its description in RNAcentral is "SSU rRNA". It matches the Rfam family "Bacterial small subunit ribosomal RNA", at positions 26 to 518 of the family's 1533-position model. The record is from RNAcentral.